Molecule: long non-coding RNA, 3546 nt
Organism: Peromyscus californicus insignis
Lineage: Eukaryota; Metazoa; Chordata; Mammalia; Rodentia; Cricetidae
Exons: 4
Source: RefSeq, a predicted model, not a curated record
CCCACGUGCCUCCUUUAGCGCCAGCCAAGCUCUGCUGGCUACUGCUGACAGCUGAUUAGGGUUUGCGGUGGUGGGGUCGCUGCCCUGGGAGAAGGGGCUGCGCUGAUAUCUUCCUUGAUCCCUGCAACAUCCUCUACUCCUGGGUCAUCGAGAACCAGGACUUCACCUUGGAGCGCCCGGUAGUAUCAAGGGCAAACACCCCCAGCUGUGGGUCCCAUUCCAUCCUACCUCCAAUCUGCUGACCCUAACUAACAGCUACCUGAAAGCACUCAAGGCUGAGAAGUGAGGAGACCUCAGGAGUGUGAGCAGGAAUCCCGGUUAUAAGGUUCGGCUGUGAUCCAAACUGAGGGCCAGUACAUGGGUCCAAGUCUGGCAGAGUGACCUGGAAAGAUAGCUGACACUUCUGAGGAUGAGUGGAAUCAUGCAAGUGGAGUCCAGGACCUGAAGGACUUAAAGGUGAAUGCCACCUAGGAAGCCUAGAGGAAGAACCCUGGCCCCUACACUACCCAGCCCAAGGCCUGACUAGCAGAGCUCAGAGAGCUGGCUGGGAUGAGAACUUGAAUGGCAGGUCUAAGGAUGCCCUGUUGUGAGUGGAGGCACCUGAGGAGAGCCACAUCUCAGAGCUACCUCUCCCAGGCACAAAUGGCUGGCAUUACCUCCGGACCUGGUUCCCUCAAGCUGAAGGUCAAGAAGGACAGGACAUCGUGGUCAUCUGGAAGAGGGACAGGUGAAGGGGAGAUAAGGAGCUUUUCACCCAGCAGCCCAUCCAUCCGGACUCUACUGUCUGCCAGGAAAACGAGAGGCUUGUGUGACUCUUGGCAACUCUGACUUUUGUCUCAUGGGGAAGGAUCUUUCCAUGGCUCCCCAGUACCCAGGGUCGAAAGACUAAAGUCCUGGCAUUCGAGGCUCCCAUACUCUGGCUGCAGCCUGCUUUUCAGCUGGAGGACCCUCCACAGGCUCUCCACUAAACGCUAUCCUGAUGUUCAGUUCUCUGCUGUAGCUCAUGCUGUCCCCCUUUUUACCAUCCUACAGUAUCCAGUAAAGUGGGUUUAUGAAUAUUGAUACUAGAAUACAAAAUGCCUUGUGUGUUAUCUCCUUGGAGACCUUUUUGUUUCUUGAGACAGGGUUUCAUGUAGCCCAGGUUGACCUCUGAAUUUGCUAUGUAGCAGAGGAUAACUUUGAACUGAUCCGCCCACCUCUAUCUCCCAAGUGUUGUGAUUGCAGGCAAGCACCACCACACCUGGGAUCCGAAUGCUGCUUGAACACUCACCAACACAGUGACAUUCCUAGUGUCCCAUUUGAGACUUUCAAUAGCUCUUCAAGGCCAAUGUGACCUCCUGACUGAGAAGCCAGGGAGGGAGUGUGACCAGCCCAGACCACCUGGUGAAGUAGUUGACCCCAUACAAAAGUGUUUUAGAAGCUACAAUAAGGUCUUGUCAUCAUCAAACACAGCCCCCUGCUCUUACUUACCUGGUAAGGUCCUCACCUGCUAGGAUGCUGGUGGCUGCUGAGACCCCAAAGAAGCCUCCAGGGGCCAAAAGCAGGGGCUCCACACUGACACAGACCUCUUCAGGGUCAUUGGGAAUAAGGCCUCCACUCAAGGACACCUGAGGGGUAUGGAGGGAGUGAGCGCCUGCCUCUGCCUGGUCCCAGAAUAAGAGACUGACCCCUACUCUGAUUCACUGGCUCCCCAGACCUACGGUAAGAUAGAAACUACAUGGCUUAGGAUCAGAAUGGCAUGAAAAUGACAGGGAGGCUGGUUUCAUGUGAUCCUUGUAUGUUCUGGGUCUGAUGAGAUUCUUUGUAUGAAGGGCUCAGCGGUUAAGAGUAUUGACUGCUCUUCCAGAGGACCUGGGUUCAAUUCCCAGCACCCACAUGGCAACUCACAACUGUCUGUAACUCCAGUUUCAGGAGACCCAACACCCAUGGCAAAACACCAAUGCACAUAAAAUAAAUUAAAAAAAAUAAAGAUCUGUUAAGAUUUUUUGUAUGAAACUCAAGCCCACAUGGAUCAAAGACCUCAACAUAAAUCCAGAGAAGGGGGCAUGGAUAUCCUUGAAUGCACUGGUACAGCAAACAACUUCCUGAACAGAACACCAUAGUGCAGGCACUAAGAUAGGCAAUUAAUAAAUGCGACCUCAUGAAACCGAGAAGCUUCUGUAAGGCAAAGGACACUGCCAAUAAGACAAAACGGCAGCCUACGGAAUGGGAAAAGAUCUUCACCAACCCCACAUCUGACAGAGGGCUAGUUUCCAAAAUAUAUAAAGAACUCAAGAAACUAGACAUCAAAAAACCAAAUAAUCCAAUCAAAAAAUGGAGGUACAGAUUUAAACAGAGAAUUCUCAACAGAGGAAUCUCAAAUGGCUGAGAAACACUUACGUUCAACCUCCUUAGCCAUCAGGGAAAUGCAAAUCAAAACUACUUUGAGAUUUCAUCUUACACCUGUCAGAAUGGCUAAGAUCAAAAACACAAGUGACAGCUCAUGCUGGCAAGGAUGUGGAGCAAGGGGAACACUCCUCCAUUGUUGGUGGGAGAGCAAACUUGCACUUUAGAAAUCAAUAUGGCAGUUUCUCAGAAAAUUGGCAAUCAAUCUACCUCAAUACCCAGCUAUACCACUCCUGGGCAUAUACCCAAAGGAUGCUCCAUCCUACCACAAGGACACUUGCUUAACUAUGUUCAUAGCAGCUUUAUUCAUAAUAGCCAGAAACUAGAAACAACCUAGAUGUCUCUCAACUGAAGAAUGGAUAAAGAAAUUGUAGUAUAUUUACACAAUGGAGUAUUAAUCGGCUGUUAAAAACAAUGACAUCAUGAAAUUUUCAGGCAAAUGGAUGGAACUAGAAACAAUCAUCCUGAAUGAGAUAACCCAGACCCAGAAACACAAACAAGGUGUGUACUUACUUAUAAGUAGAUAUUAGCUAUGAAGUAAACGAUAAUCAUGAUACAAUCCACAGGCCCAGAAAAGCUAAGUAACGAGGAGGACUCAAGGGGGUAAUGCAUGGAUCUCCCCAGGAAGGGGAAAUAGAAGAGACAUCAAGGGUGGAGGGAGGUGGUGGUCGAGUAGACAGGAAGAGGAGGGAUCAGGUCUGGGGGAGGAUGAAGGGAGAGAGUACUGGGAGAGACAACGGAAUGGGGGGACAUCUUGGUGAUGAGCUAGAAACCUAGUGCAAUGGAAAUUCCAAGGCAUCUAUGCGGGUGACCAUAGCUAAGACUCCUAGAAACGGGGGAUGCAGAGCCUAAACUGCCCAUUUCCUGUAACCAGACAGCACUUCCAGUGGAGGGAUUGGGACACCAAUCCAGCCACAUAACCGUUGAUCUACAAUUUGUCCUGACUACAGGAUACGCUGGGGUAAAGGUGGCACAGAAAUUGUGCGAGUGGCCAACCAAUGACUGGUCUAGCUUGAGACCCAUGCCACAAGAGGGAGCUCACCCCUGACACUGCCUAGAGCACCAGGACCCAGAGGCUGGACGGCCCAGAGACCUAGGAUAGAACCAAACAAGACUAGAGGGAAAAAAAGUCAAUGAACUGAUUCCUAAUGAUAUUCUGCU